RNAcentral lists this ribosomal RNA (829 nucleotides) under Haptophyta environmental samples. Its description in RNAcentral is "eukaryotic LSU rRNA". It matches the Rfam family "Eukaryotic large subunit ribosomal RNA", at positions 133 to 1004 of the family's 3401-position model. Lineage: Eukaryota; Haptophyta. The record is from RNAcentral.
ACGCCCCGAAUUGUAGUCUAGAAAGGCGCCAUCGGACGCGCCGGCCGCUCAAAUCCCUUGGAACAGGGUAUCGGAGAAGGUGAGAAUCCUGUGCCGUGGCCGGUCGCUUCCGCACGAUGCGCCCUUGUCGAGUCGGGUUGCUUGGGAUUGCAGCUUUAAGUGGGUGGUAAAUUCCAUCUAAAGCUAAAUACUGGCGGGAGACCGAUAGCGAACAAGUACCGUGAGGGAAAGAUGCAAAGAACUUUGAAAAGAGAGUUAAAGAGUGCUUGAAAUUGGCAAGAGGAAACCCGGAUGCGCGCAGCCUCGCGCCGUCGACUCAGCCGCGCGCGUGCUUUCUGGUGGACCGCAAGGCCUCCUUGCUGUAGCGCGCGGUGCACUUUGGCGGCGCAGAUCAUCCGCCACGAUGUCUGCGGCACAUGGCGUGGGGUAGGGCUCCGGCGAGCCCCGCGUUGCGCCGCGGCCGUCGUGCCGGCUGAUGGAAUGCGCGCAUCCGACCCGUCUAGAAACACGGACCAAGGAGUCUGACACGUGCGCGAGUACUCGGGUGGCAAGCCCGUGUGCGUAAUGAAAGUAAAGGGCGCUCCAACGCCAACCGACCUUGAUCUUCUGUGAAGGGUUUGAGUCGAGCGCACCUGCCGGGACCCGAAAGAUGGUGAACUAUGCCUGGAGUUGGUGAAGCCAGAGGAAACUCUGGUGGAAGCCUGUCGCGGUACUGACGUGCAAAUCGUUCGUCACAUCUGGGUAUAGGGGCGAAAGACUAAUCGAACCAUCUAGUAGCUGGUUCCCUCCGAAGUUUCCCUCAGGAUAGCUUGAACGUACAUGGUGUUGU